RNAcentral lists this ribosomal RNA (2900 nucleotides) under Escherichia coli. RNAcentral's name for it is "23S ribosomal RNA". It matches the Rfam family "Bacterial large subunit ribosomal RNA". The record is from RNAcentral. Lineage: Bacteria; Pseudomonadati; Pseudomonadota; Gammaproteobacteria; Enterobacterales; Enterobacteriaceae.
UUAAGCGACUAAGCGUACACGGUGGAUGCCCUGGCAGUCAGAGGCGAUGAAGGACGUGCUAAUCUGCGAUAAGCGUCGGUAAGGUGAUAUGAACCGUUAUAACCGGCGAUUUCCGAAUGGGGAAACCCAGUGUGUUUCGACACACUAUCAUUAACUGAAUCCAUAGGUUAAUGAGGCGAACCGGGGGAACUGAAACAUCUAAGUACCCCGAGGAAAAGAAAUCAACCGAGAUUCCCCCAGUAGCGGCGAGCGAACGGGGAGCAGCCCAGAGCCUGAAUCAGUGUGUGUGUUAGUGGAAGCGUCUGGAAAGGCGCGCGAUACAGGGUGACAGCCCCGUACACAAAAAUGCACAUGCUGUGAGCUCGAUGAGUAGGGCGGGACACGUGGUAUCCUGUCUGAAUAUGGGGGGACCAUCCUCCAAGGCUAAAUACUCCUGACUGACCGAUAGUGAACCAGUACCGUGAGGGAAAGGCGAAAAGAACCCCGGCGAGGGGAGUGAAAAAGAACCUGAAACCGUGUACGUACAAGCAGUGGGAGCACGCUUAGGCGUGUGACUGCGUACCUUUUGUAUAAUGGGUCAGCGACUUAUAUUCUGUAGCAAGGUUAACCGAAUAGGGGAGCCGAAGGGAAACCGAGUCUUAACUGGGCGUUAAGUUGCAGGGUAUAGACCCGAAACCCGGUGAUCUAGCCAUGGGCAGGUUGAAGGUUGGGUAACACUAACUGGAGGACCGAACCGACUAAUGUUGAAAAAUUAGCGGAUGACUUGUGGCUGGGGGUGAAAGGCCAAUCAAACCGGGAGAUAGCUGGUUCUCCCCGAAAGCUAUUUAGGUAGCGCCUCGUGAAUUCAUCUCCGGGGGUAGAGCACUGUUUCGGCAAGGGGGUCAUCCCGACUUACCAACCCGAUGCAAACUGCGAAUACCGGAGAAUGUUAUCACGGGAGACACACGGCGGGUGCUAACGUCCGUCGUGAAGAGGGAAACAACCCAGACCGCCAGCUAAGGUCCCAAAGUCAUGGUUAAGUGGGAAACGAUGUGGGAAGGCCCAGACAGCCAGGAUGUUGGCUUAGAAGCAGCCAUCAUUUAAAGAAAGCGUAAUAGCUCACUGGUCGAGUCGGCCUGCGCGGAAGAUGUAACGGGGCUAAACCAUGCACCGAAGCUGCGGCAGCGACACUAUGUGUUGUUGGGUAGGGGAGCGUUCUGUAAGCCUGUGAAGGUGUACUGUGAGGUAUGCUGGAGGUAUCAGAAGUGCGAAUGCUGACAUAAGUAACGAUAAAGCGGGUGAAAAGCCCGCUCGCCGGAAGACCAAGGGUUCCUGUCCAACGUUAAUCGGGGCAGGGUGAGUCGACCCCUAAGGCGAGGCCGAAAGGCGUAGUCGAUGGGAAACAGGUUAAUAUUCCUGUACUUGGUGUUACUGCGAAGGGGGGACGGAGAAGGCUAUGUUGGCCGGGCGACGGUUGUCCCGGUUUAAGCGUGUAGGCUGGUUUUCCAGGCAAAUCCGGAAAAUCAAGGCUGAGGCGUGAUGACGAGGCACUACGGUGCUGAAGCAACAAAUGCCCUGCUUCCAGGAAAAGCCUCUAAGCAUCAGGUAACAUCAAAUCGUACCCCAAACCGACACAGGUGGUCAGGUAGAGAAUACCAAGGCGCUUGAGAGAACUCGGGUGAAGGAACUAGGCAAAAUGGUGCCGUAACUUCGGGAGAAGGCACGCUGAUAUGUAGGUGAAGUCCCUCGCGGAUGGAGCUGAAAUCAGUCGAAGAUACCAGCUGGCUGCAACUGUUUAUUAAAAACACAGCACUGUGCAAACACGAAAGUGGACGUAUACGGUGUGACGCCUGCCCGGUGCCGGAAGGUUAAUUGAUGGGGUCAGCGCAAGCGAAGCUCUUGAUCGAAGCCCCGGUAAACGGCGGCCGUAACUAUAACGGUCCUAAGGUAGCGAAAUUCCUUGUCGGGUAAGUUCCGACCUGCACGAAUGGCGUAAUGAUGGCCAGGCUGUCUCCACCCGAGACUCAGUGAAAUUGAACUCGCUGUGAAGAUGCAGUGUACCCGCGGCAAGACGGAAAGACCCCGUGAACCUUUACUAUAGCUUGACACUGAACAUUGAGCCUUGAUGUGUAGGAUAGGUGGGAGGCUUUGAAGUGUGGACGCCAGUCUGCAUGGAGCCGACCUUGAAAUACCACCCUUUAAUGUUUGAUGUUCUAACGUUGACCCGUGAUCCGGGUUGCGGACAGUGUCUGGUGGGUAGUUUGACUGGGGCGGUCUCCUCCUAAAGAGUAACGGAGGAGCACGAAGGUUGGCUAAUCCUGGUCGGACAUCAGGAGGUUAGUGCAAUGGCAUAAGCCAGCUUGACUGCGAGCGUGACGGCGCGAGCAGGUGCGAAAGCAGGUCAUAGUGAUCCGGUGGUUCUGAAUGGAAGGGCCAUCGCUCAACGGAUAAAAGGUACUCCGGGGAUAACAGGCUGAUACCGCCCAAGAGUUCAUAUCGACGGCGGUGUUUGGCACCUCGAUGUCGGCUCAUCACAUCCUGGGGCUGAAGUAGGUCCCAAGGGUAUGGCUGUUCGCCAUUUAAAGUGGUACGCGAGCUGGGUUUAGAACGUCGUGAGACAGUUCGGUCCCUAUCUGCCGUGGGCGCUGGAGAACUGAGGGGGGCUGCUCCUAGUACGAGAGGACCGGAGUGGACGCAUCACUGGUGUUCGGGUUGUCAUGCCAAUGGCACUGCCCGGUAGCUAAAUGCGGAAGAGAUAAGUGCUGAAAGCAUCUAAGCACGAAACUUGCCCCGAGAUGAGUUCUCCCUGACUCCUUGAGAGUCCUGAAGGAACGUUGAAGACGACGACGUUGAUAGGCCGGGUGUGUAAGCGCAGCGAUGCGUUGAGCUAACCGGUACUAAUGAACCGUGAGGCUUAACCU